RNAcentral lists this ribosomal RNA (408 nucleotides) under Amblyomma maculatum (Gulf Coast tick). Its description in RNAcentral is "partial small subunit ribosomal RNA". Lineage: Eukaryota; Metazoa; Arthropoda; Arachnida; Ixodida; Ixodidae. The record is from RNAcentral.
AGUAUUUUGACUAUACAAAGGUAUUGAAAUAAGACUUUAAUUGAGUGCUAAGAGAAUGGAAUUUCAUAAAAUUUCUUUUUUAAUUUUAAAAAUUGAAAUUAAUUUUAUAUGUGAAGAAACAAUAAUAAAAAUUAAGGACAAGAAGACCCUAAGAAUUUUAAAAAUUUCAAUAAAAUGCUGAAUUUUAUUGAAAUUUUUUAAUUGGGGCGAUUAUUAAAUAUUAAAAACUUUAAUUUUUUUAAAAAAGAACCAAUAAUAUUGGUUAUUUGAAAAAAUACUCUAGGGAUAACAGCGUAAUAAUUUUUGAUAGUUCUUAUAGACAAAAUAGUUUGCGACCUCGAUGUUGGAUUAGGAUUCUUUUUUAAUGAAGAAGUUAAAAAAAGAAGUUUGUUCAACUUUUAAAAUCCU